Ictalurus punctatus (channel catfish) is the source of this 1190-nucleotide long non-coding RNA. NCBI's taxonomy places the organism in Eukaryota, Metazoa, Chordata, Actinopteri, Siluriformes, Ictaluridae. The record is from Ensembl.
CCUGACGCGGGAGACAACUUUAUAUUACGCACAGAGGGACUGGUGUUGUGAAGUUUUGCCAUCCAGCGACAGAAAUAAUCUCAUGUAGAAACAAACACAACAGAGGGUUCGGUGUCUAGGAUCUAGAAUUUUGCGGCAAAACGUUAAGCGUAUCACUCGAUGCUCCACUUUUACAAAAGAAUUCAUUAAAACAGCGAUGCGUGUGUUGAGCACGUUACGCGUCCUCAUUUUUGUGUUUGAUGAAGCAUGAAGUAAGCUGUCAGAAACAUCCUGGGACAAGGCCACAGCCGGAGUGAUCGUGUAACCUGGGGACAGUGGAACGAUGCAGAUUUGGUGAGAAACCCCUCAGAAAUGAGUGUUUUGCUGAGUCUGGAUAAAGUCUGUGUGCCCUGAUUUGGAUAUUAAACAGUACUCACACAAAGGCCAUGAGGACGAGUCCUGUUUGUUCCUUCCUGCAGAACAACAGUGACAUGUUUUUGCAGCUGUAAAAGUGAGACUGAUGCUUUAGAAGAAGUUGAGGAUGGAUGCACUUACUUGUCAGAACGAGCUGAAGGCGUGAGAUGAGCAGAAAACUCAACCCUGACCAGUCUUCUCCUGGUGUGUUGGUGUGUUGGUGUGUGUGGACCGUUGACGGUAAAGUGAUGAUUAUAAACACACACCUGCAUGAUGACUCGGGGAUUCUGAGAAACAAACUCACACGUGUGUGUGUGUGUGUGUGUGUUUUUAAAACGCCGCUGAUUCACACACCGACGAGAGAAAGGAGGAGACGCCACGGCACACAGGAGCGUCACCUCCGUGUCAUGGCGACGUCCGUGUCUUCAUCGGGGAGUAAAGAUCUGGGGCUCAGGAGUGCAUCGCUGCUCGGCAAAACGUCGUCGAUCUCCAUCAUGAGUGAGAUAAAAAACUUCACCGUGCCGUGUUUGGAUUUGGACACGUUCCUCUCAGCGAAGGUGAAACUGCGCCAAGAAGGCUUUCUGGAUUCCAACAUGAAGACCUGCUUGGAUUUUGCGAUCCAGACGCUGGAGAAAUUCCCUGCCUCGAAACGCCGUGACGUCUCUCUCACCUUUGAAGGAGAGAGGCAGCUGGUUCGGUUCACUGCAGGAAACCCCGUCCUGCUGUACGUGGUCCGUGUGGGUCAGAACGGUCCAGAGCUUCAUCAGAAAGUCCCGGUCGGGUCUCGUCUCGUCCCC